RNAcentral lists this ribosomal RNA (468 nucleotides) under uncultured bacterium. RNAcentral describes it as "partial 16S ribosomal RNA". It matches the Rfam family "Bacterial small subunit ribosomal RNA", at positions 28 to 507 of the family's 1533-position model. The record is from RNAcentral.
GACGAACGCUGGCGGCGUGCUUAAUACAUGCAAGUCGAACGGUAAGGCCCUGCUCUUGUGGGGUGCUCGAGUGGCGAACGGGUGAGUAACACGUGAGUGACCUGUCCUUGACUGUGGGAUAACACCAGGAGACUGGGGCUCAAACAGGGUAGGAGAGCCUGCUGCGUGGGGGGGGUUGGAAAGUUUCGGCGGUUGGGCAUGGACACGCGGAUCAUCAGCUUGUUGGUGAGGUGGUGGGUUACCCAGGCAUUGACGGGAAGCCGGCCUGCGAGGGUGACCGGCCCCAUUGUCCCUGGGGUGCCGCCCGUACUGCUUCGGGGGGCAGCAGCGGGGGAUAGUGCGCGAUGGGCGGAAUCCGGAUGCAGCAACUCCGCGUGCGGGAUCACGGCCUUCGGGUUGUAAACCGCUUUCGCCUGGGACGAAGCGUGAGUGACGGUAAUUUGUAAAGAAGCACCGGCUAACUACGUG